Non-coding RNA from Pelobates cultripes (western spadefoot toad), 237 nucleotides. The record is from the annotation of a GenBank genome assembly. NCBI's taxonomy places the organism in Eukaryota, Metazoa, Chordata, Amphibia, Anura, Pelobatidae.
GGACGCGGGAUGGGGAGGGGGGAAUGGGAGUUACGGCGCCCCUAUUGGCCUUGGGGAGGUCACACCUGCCGCCCGGGAAGAACCAGGCCGCCAACUGAGCACCAACAGCGGGUUCGCACCCCAGCAAGGGGGGACGAUUUGGGAAGGGGUAUACCAAAUGGGGUUAUUAGCGUAACAUUGUUAUGGAAAUGAAUGUUUGCACUGUUACUUCUUGUCAAACCACAAAACUAAAUAAAG